UCCCAGACUCUACGGGAGGCAGCAGUGGGGGAUAUUGCACAAUGGGGGAACCCUGAUGCAGCGACGCCGCGUGGGUGAAGGAGUGCUUCGGCAUGUAAAGCCCUAUCGGCAGGGAAGAAGCAAGACGGUACCUGACUAAGAAGCCCCGGCUAACUACGUGCCAGCAGCCGCGGUAAUACGUAGGGGGCGAGCGUUAUCCGGAAUUAUUGGGUGUAAAGGGUGCGUAGACGGGAGUCUAAGUUAGUUGUGAAAUCCCUCGGCUCAACUGAGGAACUGCAACUAAAACUGGACAUCUUGAGUGCAGGAGAGGAAAGUGGAAUUCCUAGUGUAGCGGUGAAAUGCGUAGAUAUUAGGAGGAACACCAGUGGCGAAGGCGACUUUCUGGACUGUAACUGACGUUGAGGCACGAAAGUGUGGGGAGCAAACAGGAUUAGAUACCCGUGUAAA
RNAcentral lists this ribosomal RNA (447 nucleotides) under uncultured bacterium. RNAcentral's name for it is "partial 16S ribosomal RNA". It matches the Rfam family "Bacterial small subunit ribosomal RNA", at positions 329 to 793 of the family's 1533-position model. The record is from RNAcentral.